GUGGGGAAUAUUGGACAAUGGGGGGAACCCUGAUCCAGCCAUGCCGCGUGUGUGAAGAAGGCCUUUUGGUUGUAAAGCACUUUAAGCGAGGAGGAGGCUUACCUGGUUAAUACCUAGGAUAAGUGGACGUUACUCGCAGAAUAAGCACCGGCUAACUCUGUGCCAGCAGCCGCGGUAAUACAGAGGGUGCGAGCGUUAAUCGGAUUUACUGGGCGUAAAGCGCGCGUAGGUGGUUAAUUAAGUCAAAUGUGAAAUCCCCGAGCUUAACUUGGGAAUUGCAUUCGAUACUGGUUAGCUAGAGUAUGGGAGAGGAUGGUAGAAUUCCAGGUGUAGCGGUGAAAUGCGUAGAGAUCUGGAGGAAUACCGAUGGCGAAGGCAGCCAUCUGGCCUAAUACUGACACUGAGGUGCGAAAGCAUGGGGAGCAAACAGGAUUAGAUACCCCAGUAGUCC
RNAcentral lists this ribosomal RNA (451 nucleotides) under uncultured bacterium. RNAcentral's name for it is "partial 16S ribosomal RNA". It matches the Rfam family "Bacterial small subunit ribosomal RNA", at positions 354 to 796 of the family's 1533-position model. The record is from RNAcentral.